GAUGAAGAACGCAGCGAAAUGCGAUAAGUAGUGUGAAUUGCAGAAUUCAGUGAGUCAUCGAAUCUUUGAACGCACAUUGCGCCCUGUGGUAUUCCGCAGGGCAUGCCUGUUCGAGCGUCAUUUCAACCCUCAAGCUCUGCUUGGUGUUGGGCCCUGCCCGCUCGCGGCCGGCCCUAAAGACAGUGGCGGUGCCGUCUGGCUCUAAGCGUAGUACAUCUCUCGCUCUGGUGCCCGGCGGUGUCCUGCCAGAACCCCCCAACUCUGUGGUUGACCUCGGAUCAGGUAGGGAUACCCGCUGAACUUAAGCAUAUCAAUAAGCGGAGGA
RNAcentral lists this unclassified non-coding RNA (325 nucleotides) under soil metagenome. RNAcentral describes it as "partial contains 5.8S ribosomal RNA, internal transcribed spacer 2, and large subunit ribosomal RNA". The stretch from base 1 to 120 matches the Rfam family "5.8S ribosomal RNA", at positions 35 to 154 of the family's 154-position model. The record is from RNAcentral.